UUCCGGUUUGAACUCAGAUCAUGUGCGGGGUAGAGGUCGAACAGACCUUGUGAAAAUAGCUUCUGCACUAUUUGUAGCCGCAAUUCAACAUCGAGGUCGCAAACAAUUAUUUUAAUAAGGGCUUAAAUAAUUAUAACGCUGUUAUCCCUAGAGUACCUUAUUCGUCUAAUUUAAUAAAGAUCAUUGUUAAUAUAAAUAGUCCUAUUUAAAUU
RNAcentral lists this ribosomal RNA (212 nucleotides) under Acartia tonsa. RNAcentral's name for it is "partial large subunit ribosomal RNA". The record is from RNAcentral. Lineage: Eukaryota; Metazoa; Arthropoda; Copepoda; Calanoida; Acartiidae.